UUCCCCUUUUACUCCAUCUUUGUAAACUAUGCAAAGCAACACUUAUUAUACCACCACCGUCUGUACCUCACAUAGUUCGGUGAGGACUUGAUAAUUGAUAUCCGAAAUUCUAUUAUUUAAAAAUAUUAAGAUAUCAAAGAAUAUUAUAUUUUCAACACAAUUCAAAGAAACCAUCAUUCUUAAUUUGAGUCAAAAAUAUACUCUAGGAACAAGUAAUUAGACAAAACAUAUUCAUAUUAUUUGAGUUAAUCUUUUUGUGGAUUCAAUCUGAGAAUCUCCUGAUUUAAUAUUAUGUGAAACAACUGUUUACUUUAAAAGCAUAAUCUAUUAGCAAUAAUAUUUUUAAUAUUUUAUAUUUAACAGGCAUGCUAGCGAUUGCAUUUGUCCGC
This 389-nucleotide long non-coding RNA is filed under the name Ananas comosus (pineapple). RNAcentral describes it as "long non-coding RNA (ACOM_LNC009287)". The record is from RNAcentral. Lineage: Eukaryota; Viridiplantae; Streptophyta; Magnoliopsida; Poales; Bromeliaceae.